RNAcentral lists this ribosomal RNA (329 nucleotides) under uncultured Clostridiaceae bacterium. RNAcentral describes it as "partial 16S ribosomal RNA". The record is from RNAcentral. Lineage: Bacteria; Bacillati; Bacillota; Clostridia; Eubacteriales; Clostridiaceae.
GGAGUUUGGACCGUGUCUCAGUUCCAAUGUGGCCGAUCACCCUCUCAGGUCGGCUACUGAUCGUCGCCUUGGUGGGCCGUUACCCCACCAACUAACUAAUCAGACGCAGGUCCAUCCUGUACCGAUAAAAUCUUUGACCGCUUCACCAUGUGAUGCUGCGGUGUCAUAAGGUAUUAAUCACCGUUUCCAGUGGCUAUCCCUUUGUACAGGGCAGGUUACCUACGCGUUACUCACCCGUCCGCCGCUUUCCAUCCAUUCAGGCAUCCGAAGAAUUCGUCAUGGAUAUCUCGCUCGACUUGCAUGUGUUAGGCACGCCGCCAGCGUUCAUC